ACAGCUAUUUUGAAUUAUCAGAUCACAAAAUUCCAUACUUUUGAGAGCAUGGUUAUUGGAAAAUUAUUUUCUUUUGGUGAUGAUGUGUUUCCUUGAUUUUUCCUGUUCCUGUAUUUUGGCUUGCUCCUUUCACAUUUGAAGUAGCUGACAUCUCCUUAAAUCUUUACCAGUUGCCUUCAGAUGGGGUAUACUAUUCAUUGGUGCUGUUAUAUUUGGGGUUUUCUCUGCUUUUGUAUAGAUAUACCUGGAUACAUACACUCUUCUUGUCCCUCUUAUGGAAGAAUUCUUAAGCUUUUGUGGCUUCCCUGGUUCUUAGCGCUCACCAGUGCCUACUAGAAUCCUCUCAUUUUCCAGAAGGUGGUGCUAUAGCUCAAGUUUGUGGUUUCUCCCUAGCCCACCUAACCUGGUCUUUCUGAUGGUGUUUACUCAACUUACUGUUGCAUUUGCACUCCAGCAUGUACAAGGAGCUGACUGCAGGGUUGGUGGAGAUGUUGGGUUAGCCCUUGGGGUAUUGGAGGUGCCCGUGGACCUGACCCAGUGGGGUGAAACUUGGGUGAAUCAUGCCCAGAGGCUUGUGGGCAGACUUCCUGAGCACUGUCAGCAGGAACUACAUUCCUUUAAUGUCCUUUGAUAUUCUUAUUUCGCUCUUUCCCAGACCACCCUAGCCCCAGUUAUAAAGGUCCCUCAGCACUGGGGUAGCCAGGCACUCACUGCUUUCCUUUCCCCCAUGAGAGGAGUUACCACUGCUGGGUAGUUCAGCCCUGUGCAGUGUUGCUUUGUGAAAGUUCCUCUUAUAGGCCUAACUGAACCAAACUUGUGUUUUUUGCUCCCAUGUUGUGCUGGAAUCUCCUCUUGGGAAGUCUGGAUUUUUGUGAAUUCUUUGUCAUCCAUUCAUAUCCACCUAGGACAGCACUCUCCAGGUUUGUCCCUUAUUGCAGCAAGAAGUUUUGAGGCAGUUUUGCUGGUCCUACAGCCUGUAACAAGGUCUGCCUGCCUCUUACUGGAUGUGCAGGUGGGCAAGACUCCUCCCAGGUCCCUUGGCAGAUGGUGCUCAUUUCUACAACUCCCACAACAGUGCUUUUGUUCACGGAUGCAUGUCUAAUAAUUCAUUGUUAAAAAAGGACAAAAAGAACAUUUUACACUAUGAUCCUGAUCAACUGAGUAGUUUUUAAGAUAGUUCUAUUAUCCCUAAUCUUUCAAUGCAAAUAAAAUCAAUUAUCACAAACUAUUUCAUGAUCCCUUAGAGUAUUCUCGGAACUGCUUUUUAGUAUUGAUAGGUGCAUCACAAAGUUGUGCAUGUUUGAGAGCAAAGAGCUGAUAUUUCAGUAGUUCCUUGUAAACAGUACUUUCUGUGAAUGAUAAUAGUACAAUAUAUUUUAUAACUAGAGGACCAUCCCAGGAGCCACUGUAACACUAGUUAUUUUCAAGGAAAUUAACUGGAAUAAAAGAAAGGCUACAAAAGAAUUUUUGUCCUGUUUUCUUAAAGUGGUAGACUGGAUCAAGAUGGCAGACAGAACCACCUACUAUCCCUCUCAAUGCUAAAUCCUAUAUAAAGUGCUAAAGCAGAAGAAAAAUAAAAUCUGCUACAGCACUGAAAAAUAGGAGCUAGCAAAAGUAGACAUUUUGAAAAAUGCCAGAAACGUCAAAAGCAGAUGGAAUCGGGAAAGGUCAACAUGGUGGCCGCCAUAAGGUGCCUCAGUAGAGUUUUGAUACAUCAUCAAAAGUAUAGUCUUUCCAAGACGGCUUAUCAGACACCUCUUUAUCCUUGUUCCGUGUAUGUUCAGGUGCCCAGCAGACAUUUUGCUGCUGCUGCAAAGCCUGCAAAGAAAAAAAAAAAGGUGUGAAAGACAAAGCAUCAGAUGAGAAAAAAGAUGAAAUAGAAAAAUAGUUCUACUCCUUUAUGGAAAGCAAACCUGAGGAUGAUGUCUACUUAAAGCACUUAUAUCCAAGGCAGAUAUAGGUGGUGGAGAAACUAUUCAGUUACUUAAGAAAUUUUAAACUCUAGGGUUUACUAAUCUACAGUAAGGUGUUUAUCUUGAUUUGACACUGGAUGUGGCACUGGGGAAGAAAAAAAAGUGGAGCCAUUUGCCAGUGUUGUUUUCCAUACCCAUUCGUUUCAGAAAUCAGUAAAGUUGCUAUAUUUACAAGGAAUUCAUCAGAGAUUAAAAUAGCAGAAGAAAGUGGAGCUGCAUUUGCAGGAGGAAUUAUUAAUCUAAUUUGGAAGAUUUUGGAUGAUGAAAUUCAAUCAGACUUUUAUGUAGCUGUUCCAGAAAUAAUGCCCGAGCUUAAUCCAUUAAAGAAAAAGCUGAAAAAAAAAUUUCCAAAACUAACUGGAAAUUCCAUUGGCCGUGACAUACCCAAAAUGCUUGAAUUAUUUAAAAUUAGACAUGAAAUUAAAGUAGACGAAGAAAGGGAGAACUUUCUCGAGACCAAAACAGCAGCACUGGAUACGCUAAGUGACCAGAUAGCUGCGAAUCUGCCAGCAGUUAUCAGUGAUGUUUGUAAGCACAGACCACUCAGUUUGGGACCUUUCGUGGGACAUUUCGUGGUACGAGCUUUCCUUCAUACUUCAACAAGUGAAGGUUUGUUGCUAAAGAUCAAGCCAUUGUUGUCUAAAGAAGUAGAAACCACAGAAAGUAACAAAGAAGAUGCCUAGGGGCGCCUGGGUGGCUCAGUCGUUAAGUGUCUGCCUUCCGCUCAGGUCGUGAUCCCAG
Callorhinus ursinus (northern fur seal) is the source of this 2714-nucleotide non-coding RNA. The record is from RefSeq and is a predicted model, not a curated record. NCBI's taxonomy places the organism in Eukaryota, Metazoa, Chordata, Mammalia, Carnivora, Otariidae.